CCUGACAGACAAUCUCAGAGUUGGACAGACAUCCAUAGUUGCUGCUCAGAUGUUUCUUUUUUUCAGAGUUUUGCUGCUAAGAAUAUCUCCUCAACAUCUGACCUCACUGUGGCCAAUAAUGGUCUCUGAAUUGAUUCAGACAUUCAUACAGCUUGAAGAAGAUCUUAAGGAGGAUGAUGAGUUGCUGAGAAACAGCAACAAAAUAAACAGAAUAAAAGUUUCAGUCACUGAUGGAAAUGGGCCUUCGAUGGGG
Molecule: non-coding RNA, 253 nt
Organism: Castor canadensis (American beaver)
Lineage: Eukaryota; Metazoa; Chordata; Mammalia; Rodentia; Castoridae
Source: RefSeq, a predicted model, not a curated record